Long non-coding RNA from Phyllopteryx taeniolatus (common seadragon), 4035 nucleotides. RefSeq lists it as uncharacterized. The transcript is spliced from 2 exons. NCBI's taxonomy places the organism in Eukaryota, Metazoa, Chordata, Actinopteri, Syngnathiformes, Syngnathidae. The record is from RefSeq and is a predicted model, not a curated record.
GCAUCCACAGCAGAAACCACACAGGACGUCAGGAACCGCAUCGACAAAGACAAUCCGACCUUCAUCAUCAAGGCUCGAGGCCAACCGAACCAGGCCGAUUACAACGGUCGAACGAUGUUAUCGUUAGGAUAUUAGCGCUUUUUGAAAUAAUGAUGAUCGGCUGGAGCUCUCACAGUGAAAUUAACGCACAUAUAUUCAUUUGUCAUGAAACACUUAAUCAAAUCCUCAGAAUCGGAGUUGCGCAUAAAUAUGUCCUUGCGCCGCUUGUCCACUAGAGGGGGCACUGACUCCAUUCAAUCCAAUAAGCAUCUUUCUUCAGACGAUGAAGUGGUUGUCCCAGUUCUCGCGAGGCUGUGCACAAACGCCUCCAAUUUUGACAGCAACAAUGGUGGAUUGCUGAAGAAGCUCCUGAGCACAAUUGCCUUCGUCAGCAGCGAGGAGAGAAGGAAAACAGUAAAUCCCACAUGUUCUUAAAUCCACCGCCAAUAACAAGCAGAAGGGCAACCAUGGGAAGGUUUUGGGGACGCGAUGGCGGACCCCGGUGGACCGGAGGGUGUGCCCACUCACCCAUCUCCAGGUACUCGCUGAAGAGCCCCUCGCAAAGCAGGAGCUGGUAGUCCACCUCCCACGGACAUAUGUCCUGCUCCACUCCUUCCUGCUCUUCCAGCUGCUUGGCCUUCCCUCUUCUCUUCCUCUUCUGCCACCACGCCCUCAACUUCCUGCCGCCAAGCAGGAAAACAGAAAACAGUCAAACGAGCUCGUUAAAAACAUCCAUCCGUGUGCUAAAGCGCUUCUUCAUCCUCAUUUAGGUCAAGGGUGAGCCGGAGCCUCUCUCAGCUGACUUUGGCGGAGAGGCGGGGUACACCCUGGACCGGUCGCCAACCAAUCGCGUUGGACGAUAUAGACAAACAAUUGACUGGUCACCAGUCAAUGUUGGAGGCAUAUGGACAAACAACGGAUUGUCAAACACGCACACACGUUUUGCACUGGGGCGGGAUUAGAGUUCGGGUAGGCCAGUCUGUGAGGUAAGAGGGCUGAAAGAGAAGUCAGCUUUGUCGGUGUGAUGCGCUAGCUAAGCGGGUGUUCUUACGGGCAGACGAACUCCUGGAUGUUGUUGAUCAGUUGUUUCCCCACCAUGAUGACCAGCAGCUCCUGGGCCAGCUCGAUGAGGCAGCCGCCCGCACCGCACUGUCGUCACAACGACCACAAGUCAGGCUUUUCAUUCGAGUGGUAGAAAGGUUGACCGACGGUGGGCGGCACUCACGUCUUCAUUGCGCACUCCAAACAGCGUGAAGUACUUUCCUGGGUAGCCAAUGAAUCUGGACACACAAGCCACAUGACUAAAGCCGGGUACUGUUGGAAUGGAUGAGUGGCAAACAAGUCUGCACCUUUAGCAGCUCAUCAAAAGCACAAAAUGCCAACAUUGUGCACUCCUUACACGGGGAAACUCCACCCAGGAAUCGAAAGUCCAGCUCGUGAGCAAAAAACGAACAAUCCAACUCUCGCCUGACGCCAAGAAGGCGAGAAAACCAUUUGACGGUGUUUGUUGCUCACCUGCCUUUGAAGAAGGCGAUGUACACCGGAGACGAGUAGAAGUUGACAAACUGGAAGACGAACACUUUGAGGAUGAACAUGUCUUCGUAUUUUGUUUGAGUGCGAUGCAUCUCUGACGCACACACACAGGCAAUAACACACACACGUAUAACGCCACCAUACCAAUCAUAAUGUGACUUACAGCUGCUUUUGCUCAGUGGCCAGUGUAGUAGACGACCAUCUGAUGAUCAGUAAGUGGUCAAACUAAGUAGGUGAAAAAUGUGGCAAAUGUGCCCAUGACCUAAUGUCUUCAUGUCACAAAAUGCUAAAACGCUAGCCGCUUAAGUGAAGAUGCACAAAGGCUCUUAAUGCUUUUUAACAACAAUGCUAGUUGUUUGUGGAGCUCCCCUGCUUAUGGGUCUCAGGUGGCCGGAUCCCUGGAUGUGACCAUAUUGUUGUUGUUGUUGUUGUUGUUAAUUGAUUGGUUGGUUAGUUGAUGAAGUUUGGAUGAUAUGUUGUCUUUGGUGAGUGUGUCCCCUGGGGGUGGUCACGUGGUUCGUUGUUAUGGUUUUUGAAGAAGCCUUUUGCAUGAAAGGUAAAAUGGCUUCAACAACCAGCAAGAGUCGAGUUGCCAAAAUACAACGUCUCCGCAGUGAUCCUGCUUUGAGGGCCCAUCUCACCGGCGGAGACGUCGCCGAGCAGUCGCGGCGACUCCGGGACCCCGGGAGAGCAAAAUGUUGCUUGUGCUCUCGCCAGGAAGAUGCCUCGGAGACGUUUCCAGACAACUCCACAACCAAUUCACCCGGAGGUCGCUGAUGUAGGCCUAUAGUCAGUAGAUAUAUUAAAUAGAUACGUAAAGGAAACUGUGUGUUUGUGUGUGCGUGCUGUGUGUGGGCUUCGUCCUCAGCCGGUGGAGCACGGACUAUGAGGGAAAUGCGUUAACCUCCUUAAAAUCAGAAAUAUUGGCGUGAUCGCUCUGAUAUUUUCAGAGGUCGGAGUGGACAUAGGUCCAGAUAUCCAUAUAAAUUUUGGUAACAAUCGCUCGCAGCUUUGUGACAUUAAGCGACGUUGAGCUUUUUCUAUAGAAGAGGAAAACUCUUGACGUCCAUAAAAUCCCAAAUAUUGCGGCGAUCGUUCUGAUAUUUUCAGAGGUUGACAUAGCCAUAAGUAAAGAUACAUUUUGGUGACAAUGAAUUUCAGUUUUCGGACAUGAAGCUAUGUAAAGGUUUUUCUCUAUAGUGAACAUAUAGAGGAGUCGCCAAUAGGUUUCACCGCGACUCCUUGGUGACCCGGCCAGUCUCCAGGACACUGCAGGAGAAUUCUCAGGUCGCCAUGAAGUCGCUAACUUGUCUCCAGGGUCUUAAUGCCCAAGGUGGGACUGACCCCAUCUUGUGAGGAUGUGGGCGAGGGAGAUGUAAACACGGGACAAAAUCAGGAUGACCAGCAGGUUCAACACGGAUCCCGUCAGACUCGCAAUCCUGGCAGCCUGAAAGCAGACGACAAGUCAACGAGCAAGGAGAAGCUUCCUGAAUCCUCAACACUUUAAAGCAGGGUUGUCAAACUCAUUUUAGUUGUACCCCAAUUAGAUCUCAAGAGGGCCGGAGCAGAAUAUUUGUGGCUUAAAAGUCCUUAAAAAACAACUAUUCCAACUAUUCCAUUUAUUCAUUAUUGCUUUGUUACAAACCAUUGUAUAUUAGUGUGCACCUGAAACUUGGCAUUGUUUGUCCUUCACAAAUGCAUCAGUGUCAUUUAAGUGUUGUCAGUGCACCCGCCACUUUUAUUGAAAAAUAGCAGUGAAUGUGUUCUUCAUCCCCACGGGCCAGAUUGGACCCCCCGACGGGCCGGUUCUGGUCCGCAUGUUUGACACCACUGCUUUAAAGCAACAACUCUGUAACUUCGGUCUAAUUAAGUGCAUCAACUCUUACGGAGAAGAUGAAGAAGCUGAAGUUGGACUUGGAGAUGACAAUGCUCAGGAUGGAGCGAUACAGGAUGAUGGCAAUGAGGAACAUCAGGACCACCACCACCUGAAAGCGGCACCUGCAAGUUCAGCAGCUGAGCCUGUUUGGGUUUCCAAAGACUGCUGAAGCCUCACCAUGAUGAUGAGGAUCAUGCAGCCAGUCAGCACUCUGUUGAAUCGCUUCUUCUCUGGGAAGUACGGUUCCUCCGCGCCCGUCAGAGGGUUCCUCAUCGUCAUUGGCGCCAUGGCCGUGAACUCGGGUCGCGGUCGCUCCUGCCAAAGAUCGCGGAGGUUUAAGGACAAUAGAGGUGAUGCACAAGCAACUUCUGCAUUGGGCAAAACAGGACAAAGCACUUUCUUCUGGUUCAGAUGAUUGACGGAGACCGAUGGCGGGAGACUGGGACAAAGCACUUGGAGAAAUAAUAAACGUCUACAGUUUCUUUUAUUUGACAAAAGAUGUGUUCAAGUGCUCCCAAAGAUGACCAUAUCUGAUGUUUAGGCUUCGUUAUCAUAAAGUGUAUGUCUAAAUAAAUGAUAUACAAGUA